RNAcentral lists this ribosomal RNA (576 nucleotides) under uncultured bacterium. Its description in RNAcentral is "bacterial SSU rRNA". It matches the Rfam family "Bacterial small subunit ribosomal RNA", at positions 84 to 656 of the family's 1533-position model. The record is from RNAcentral.
CCUGGCGGCGAGUGGCGAACGGGUGANUAAUAUAUCGGAACGUACCCAGAAGUGGGGGAUAACGUAGCGAAAGUUACGCUAAUACCGCAUACGAUCUACGGAUGAAAGUGGGGGACCUUCGGGCCUCAUGCUUGUGGAGCGGCCGAUAUCUGAUUAGCUAGUUGGUGAGGUAAAGGCUCACCAAGGCGACGAUCAGUAGCUGGUCUGAGAGGACGACCAGCCACACUGGGACUGAGACACGGCCCAGACUCCUACGGGAGGCAGCAGUGGGGAAUUUUGGACAAUGGGCGCAAGCCUGAUCCAGCAAUGCCGCGUGAGUGAAGAAGGCCUUCGGGUUGUAAAGCUCUUUUGUCAGGGAAGAAACGGCCGAGGCUAAUACCUUUGGCUAAUGACGGUACCUGAAGAAUAAGCACCGGCUAACUACGUGCCAGCAGCCGCGGUAAUACGUAGGGUGCAAGCGUUAAUCGGAAUUACUGGGCGUAAAGCGUGCGCAGGCGGUUUUGUAAGUCUGACGUGAAAUCCCCGGGCUCAACCUGGGAAUUGCGUUGGAGACUGCAAGGCUGGAGUCUGGCAGAG